Molecule: ribosomal RNA, 315 nt
Filed under: uncultured bacterium
Lineage: Bacteria
Description: bacterial SSU rRNA
Rfam family: Bacterial small subunit ribosomal RNA
Source: RNAcentral
AGCGAACGCUGGCGGCGUGCUUAACACAUGCAAGUCGAGCGAGAAAGGGGGCUUCGGCCCCUGAGUACAGCGGCGAACGGGUGCGUAAUACAUGAGCAAUCUACCCUUGAGGCGGGAAUGACCCAGCGAAAGUUGGGCUAAUACCGGAUAAGACCACAAGAGGAAACCCUAGAGGUCAAAGGCAGUUCUCUUUUGGGGGCGGCCCUUCGAGGAGGAGCUCAUGUCCUAUCAGCUAGUUGGUAGGGUAACGGCCUACCAAGGCGAAGACGGGUAGCUGGUCUUAGAGGAUGAUCAGCCACACGGGGGACUGAGACA